This 477-nucleotide ribosomal RNA is filed under the name Streptomyces bikiniensis. RNAcentral's name for it is "bacterial SSU rRNA". It matches the Rfam family "Bacterial small subunit ribosomal RNA", at positions 26 to 520 of the family's 1533-position model. Lineage: Bacteria; Bacillati; Actinomycetota; Actinomycetes; Kitasatosporales; Streptomycetaceae. The record is from RNAcentral.
AGGACGAACGCUGGCGGCGUGCUUAACACAUGCAAGUCGAACGAUGAAGCCCUUCGGGGUGGAUUAGUGGCGAACGGGUGAGUAACACGUGGGCAAUCUGCCCUUCACUCUGGGACAAGCCCUGGAAACGGGGUCUAAUACCGGAUACGACUGCGGGAGGCAUCUCCUGUGGUGGAAAGCUCCGGCGGUGAAGGAUGAGCCCGCGGCCUAUCAGCUUGUUGGUGGGGUAAUGGCCUACCAAGGCGACGACGGGUAGCCGGCCUGAGAGGGCGACCGGCCACACUGGGACUGAGACACGGCCCAGACUCCUACGGGAGGCAGCAGUGGGGAAUAUUGCACAAUGGGCGAAAGCCUGAUGCAGCGACGCCGCGUGAGGGAUGACGGCCUUCGGGUUGUAAACCUCUUUCAGCAGGGAAGAAGCGCAAGUGACGGUACCUGCAGAAGAAGNGCCGGCNAACUACGUGCCAGCAGCCGCGG